This 411-nucleotide ribosomal RNA is filed under the name Amplirhagada alta. RNAcentral describes it as "partial 16S ribosomal RNA". It matches the Rfam family "Archaeal large subunit ribosomal RNA", at positions 1903 to 2658 of the family's 2987-position model. The record is from RNAcentral. Lineage: Eukaryota; Metazoa; Mollusca; Gastropoda; Stylommatophora; Camaenidae.
CAAAAACAUAGCCAGUAGGAGACACUACUUGUCAUUUCUGCUCCAUGUGUUAUAAAUAGCCGCAGUACCCUGACUGUGCAAAGGUAGCAUAAUCAUUUGGCUUCUAAUUAAAGUCUAGUAUGAAUGAAUACAUGGGGGRAAACUCUAUUUUUGGUAUAUGGAACUUACUUAUUGGGUGAAAAUUCCCAAAUUUAAAUAAAAGACGAGAAGACCCUUGAAAUUUUAACAACUGACUUCAAACGUUUUUGUUGGGGCAACAUCGUAGCAUUUAACCUACAGUAAUGACGCGACACAGUGUAGCAAGAUCAAAUUACUCUAGGGAUAACAGCGUAAUUCUUGAGAGUUUGCGACCUCGAUGUUGGACUAGGAAGCAAAUGCUUAAAAGGCAAAUCGCUAUGCUCUGUUCGAGCA